This 1996-nucleotide long non-coding RNA is filed under the name Homo sapiens (human). RNAcentral's name for it is "HSALNT0372299". Lineage: Eukaryota; Metazoa; Chordata; Mammalia; Primates; Hominidae. The record is from RNAcentral.
CUUCAGGAGUGAAGCUGCAGACCUUCGCGUGAUGGAGGUUGAGAAGUCCAACUUCAAGGCACCACAUCUGGUGAGAGCCUUCAUUCCGAUGACAGCCUUCAUGCUGGUAAGAUUUUCUUCAGAGUUCCAAGGUGGUGCACGGCAUCACAUGGCGAAGGAAAUGAGCGUGCUAGCUCAGGUGUCUCUUCCUCUUCUUAUAAAGCCACCAGUCCCACUCCUGUGCUAGUAACUCUUUAAUCCAUCAACCCAUUAAUCCAUGAAUAGAUUAACCCAUGAGGCCUCUGCCCUCAGGACCCAAUCACCUCUUAAAGGCCUGACCUGUCAAUAUUGCCAUACUGGGGACUCAGUUUCAACAUGAGUUUUGAAAGGGACAAACAUUCAAUCCAUAGUAACAUGAGAGCUUUUCAAAGCCCUUCUUUGUUGAAGUAUGUCCUUCUCCAGCCUCUUUUUUCCCAGGCUUUUUGUUUUUUCUAUUGCUUGUGCAGCUGUUAUCCUUUGCUACAGGUGGCAAUAGCUAAUACAUUUGCCUUUAAAUUUGUUUGACAAACACCACCCUGGAAGUAGCCUCAACUCUGGGGAAGCUCCAAGACAGGUAAAAUACAGGUAAGCCCUUGAGCAGAUCCUUCAGGAAGCUACCAUAUGGGUCAAAACACAGAACCACAAUUCUUUAAUUCUUUGAGAAUAAGGUCUGUAUUGUUCCCUCUGUUACCAGCAACCUGCAGCAGGAAAAUGGGCUUCAGUUUUCAAGUCUGCAGCUGAGUUGGGAAGUUGCGGACAGUAACCAGGAUCGCUGUCCUUAUAAGAAGUGGAAGAAACAUCAGAGAGCUCUCCCUCUCCACACACACAGAGGAAAGGCCACAUGGGGACAAGAGAGGGCAACUGUCUACAAAUCUGGAAGAGAGACUUCAGAAGAAACCAGCACUGAUGGCAUCUGAUCUUGGACUUCCAGCCUCUGGAUCUGUAAGAAAAUACAUGUCUAUUGUUUAUGCCAUCCAGGCUGUGGCACUUUGUUAGGGCAGCCCAAUGACCAAAAGGAUUAAUGAGAGGCUCCUUCACAGUGGAUGCUGUGGGGGACAUUUACAUGGUAUAAAAACAUCCUCACAUUCUGUGCAUAGUCCACACACCUCUCCCCCAGCCCUCCAUGUCACCAAAUAUGCAGUUUACUCUUUCCCAAGUUGCUGACUAAUCUGAUGAAUCUGUCAAUGACUAACCAUGGAUUAGAGGGUCAUUGCUCAGACUAUCUUCCCUUUCAUGCAAAUAAACCAGACCUAAUGCCCGAAGCCCACUGGAAAGAUUGUCUUUCACCCCUCUCUUUCUGGCCAUUCCUGGGUGGGGUAUAGUUCAACACCUCAUCAUUUCUGGCUGGUUCCAUCUUACCAUGAAGAUCCAUUAAUAAAGCUGACCCACACCUUUCCCUCCUCUAUUUAGUGGGGGCAGGGAACUCCCCAUAAGGCCAUGGGUAUGUGUUGAGAGAGGAACAAUAAGACAGUGGGAAAGGUACCACGGGAGCCUGGACCACCAUGUGUUCCUGAAGUUUCUGUGUCAUUUCCAGAUCUGCCAGAGCCUGAUCUCAUACACACUGAUGUGGUACAGGAAAUGCCACCUGAAAAUAUGGUACCUUGGCAUUUGAGGAAACAGUAGAAGGAGGUCAUAGAAACUAGAAAGAAUUCCUCCUUGCUCUUUGUCCCCCAAAGGAGCCAUAAAACCUGGGCCGAGUUUCUUCUGAAAAUAAGUUAUAAGAUCCUUAUUCCAGAGGGGUCCUGCCCUGUGCCUGGAGGAAAAGAAUGAAGACACAGAGAUGCCUUGAAGAAUCUGAACAAACAGCCCUUGCUAAGUUCCCCCCAGUUUAUUGACAUUAGAUUAGACCUUUUGUCCUCCAAUUAUACUUCUGUGUUCCUGAAAAUACACAUUUUCCCGUUUUUUCUUUUGUUUGCUUUUUUUGAUCUUCAUUUCUGAAGAUUCCCAUGUCAUGUAAAAUAUAUGUUAAACAAAUGUG